Non-coding RNA from Cinara cedri, 750 nucleotides. The record is from the annotation of a GenBank genome assembly. NCBI's taxonomy places the organism in Eukaryota, Metazoa, Arthropoda, Insecta, Hemiptera, Aphididae.
GUGUUAAUCCGUGGUUAAAAUAAAAACCACAGGUCACAGGAUAAGUAAAAUUUCACUUAUUCUGUGUAAAAACCAUUUAGAAUUAUUGCUAUAAUUAUUUAUUUAUAGAUGGCGUUGAUUGUCUUGUACAGAUCAUGAGGGAACAUUUCGAUUUUAUUCGACCAAUCUAUCCUUUCGUCCCUACCAUUGACAUACUAAUAAAUGGACUGAUUGUAGAAAGAUAUUGCAUAUAACUUAAGACGGUCAUUGAAGAACAAAUCACAUAUUAAGAAAAAUACUUAAUUUUUAACUUGAAAUGAUUCUUCGGUUAAAACCAACAAAGAAAAGUAUUAUUAUAUUAUAAUAUAUAUAUUACAUUAAUAUUUUACAUUAUCACAUCGCCAAAUUUUGAUUAUCAUUCCAUGGUAUCUUAUUUUUUUCUUUUAUGACUUUCUUAAACUAUACUCUCUCUUUCUAAAGCGGCCUCUACACGAUCAAUAAUAUUGCACAAUAAUUGAUAUUGCGCAAUAUUAUUGACUCUAGUAUAUAUAUUGAAGGAUUGUACAAUAUAUUGAAGAAAUCAAACUGGAUUGGAAAUUUAUUGCACAAUACACAAUAUCGUAAUGUUAUCGAUAGUCUCUGAUUGACAGAAAUAGCUUCUCUCAAAAAAUGUCUAUAGUCGUCUGGUUCAGUCAUUCGUAGAAAGUUCAAUACAUUUUUAGGACUAAAUUGCUCUUUUCGUUUAAACUACACUUUAAUCUAACGUCUUCU